UAGCAUUUGACUUUUGUCCAAUUGAUAAGGACCUUUUACACCAUUAGGAAUCUGCUGAAAGGAGACAAAAACAUGAUUGUUCUGGUUGGUGUUUGUCAUCUUAGCCAAGUGAUCCACAACAUUAUUGGCCUCUCUUAGGCUUGAAUUAUCAUAUGUAGAAUCUUCUCUAUGGUGAGAUUGAGCUUGUAAUUGGGUUGUCUUUUUCCUUCAAUCAUCUGGAAGACUAUAAUUGAGUCGAUUUUCAAGAAAAAAUGGCUGAAAUUUCUUUUGACGCAUAAACCCAACCCCUUGAGGGCUGCCAAUGACUUUGCCUCAAAGCUGCCAUGGCUGCUCUUCCAGAUAGUGUGCAAAGGGUCGCGUAUGUUUUUCAUUUUCAACGCUCCAUUUAUAGGAAUUGCCAGGAAAUAGAUACACAUUUGACGAUUGGUUCUAGUUUCAGAAGAUUUUUACAAAAUGUGAUCCAAGGUAAUGUCAAGGUUGUGUUUGUUGAAACUUCUCUUGCCACCAUAUUUACAAUUUCAACUUUCAUUCCAUAUUUCCUAACACAAAUAAUAGGGCAGAUUGUAGAACCAAACCAUGUACCGUAUUUUUAGGCUUCUGAUUCCACCAUUCAUUAAUAGGGAAAGUGCACAAGCAAUACAUCUAAUAGAAAUUCUUAGGCUAUGCAAAUUUAGUGAUACAUCAAGCAUCUCUAGCAAACAAGUCGACCCUAAGUUCUGAGAGGCAACAAUAACAUUAGAGAUUAGUUAGUACUUUGUAUUGCAAAUAAAAGCUCACAUAGCCAAUUCAACAAACUCACUAUCCAAAGGCUCUUACCCAUAGCCUUCCUUGAUCACCAAUUCAAUCCAAUAAUCUCAAUAUACAAAGAAUCCAAAGUAAUAUAAUAAAAAUCUCACAACUACAAUCCAUAGCCAAUUCAACAAACUCACUACUCAAAGGCUCUUACCCAUUGCCUUCCUCGAUCACCAAUCCAAUCCAAUAAUCUCAAUAUACAAAGUAAUAUAAUAUGAAUUCAUCAACUUAGGACAACCCAUAUAUGAUUUUCUUUGUCAGCCCACUUGAGCGGCUCUGUUUUUGUUCUGACAACGCUUAUAAGGAGGCAGUACAUAAAUUUCAUGCAUUGAUGAUACUUUGAAGUUUGUUUUAAUCGCCUAAGUUGUUUGGCACCAUGUGGUGGAGACAAGAUUUGUCCUUUCCUGAUCCGGAGAAAAGGAACUUGCAAUAUCCGUCCUUCCAUGAUCCGGAGAAUCCAGAUCAUUUGGAAAAAAAUUAGUUUGAGGAUGAUUCGAUCAGCCUAUAGCUUCUGAUAACACAAACAACCAAAUGGUCCAGGCCAGCAACACAAAAAAGUAAGAAGAUGUACCUUGGGAGGCAACAACAUGCGUCCUUCCAUGAUCCGGAGAAGAAGCAGUCAUAAUGCCAUGAUCCGGAGAAUCUGGAUCAUUUGGAACAAAAACAGUUUGAGGAUGAUUCAAUCAGCCUAUAUUUUCUUAUAACACAAACAACUAAAUGGUCCAGGAAAGCAGCACACAGGAAAGUAAGAUGAUGUACCUUGGGAGGCAAUGACAGCAGUCAUAAUCUCACGAUACGGAGAAGCGGAAACAGCACCAUGAUCCGGAGAACUCAAAGAGGCAACAACAACACGAUCCAGAGUAUCUGGAGAUGCAGCAAUAGCAUGAUUCGGAGAAUCCGGAGAAGCAGCAAUAACAGUCUCCAAAUCCUUCCAGUUGUAAAGAUAUGCUUUUUCUAACUCCGUAGUAGUAGGAGUAAGAGUAAAUUGCACUACAUCCUAUACGAAAAUAAAUUGUUCAACAAGCAAAACCACAGUAAUAAACUUAUAAUAUGAAAGAUUUCACCAAAAAAAACUUAAUUAUUCACAUUGACUCUUUCCAUUACUAGUGACACCAUCUUAUAGGAUGGAAUAAUCGGUUUCUUCAUGAACCAUCGCUUCAAUCUAGGAAUUAGCAAGGGAAACUUUGUUGAUGAUGUCCAAAAGCUUCUUCUAGUUUAGGAAUUGCUUCAAAAGCCCAUACCUGUAUUCAAGCCCAAAUAGUAUUAAAUAACAUUUGUAUAAAUUAGAGAUCGAUACAAAUUAAGGAAUGACCAAUUAAAUUUCACCAGAAAAGCCCAAAGGAACCCUUGAAACACUAUUUUUGGCUUUGGAUUUUCAGACAUCUCUAAGAGAUUCUCUGGAAAACUUUGUGCAGAGAUACUUUGUUCAAGAAGAAGGGAGGUGGCAAUAAUGUCUAUAAUGUGCAGGCUGAUAAUUCAUCCUCUACGAGCUUAGGUUUGAGAGACAACACUGUGGAUCAACUAGUUCCCAAAUAUCUACCAUGAGCACUUCAGAUGACUGUUUAUCAACAUGAUCAAGUAAUGCAGAUGCUUGAUGGUAAUAUUUGUACUGCUCAUGUAAUGGCAAACAUGGCAGGACCUUUCCACUGGUGAACUGAAGGGGAUUGGUAAAGAAGAUGAUGGGUUGUACUGUCUGGUUCAUUCGCAGAAACCUUCUGUUCAUGACAAGGUUACGAGUUUUGCUGCACAUGAUGACAAAAAAGGAGAUUUUGCUGUGGCAUAAAAGACUUGCCCAUGCUUCAAUAGGAUCUAUGAAAGACUUGUUAGGCUAUAAUGUUGAUGCUUGUAAAAUGCUUUGAACAAUUGUGAAAUAUGUCCUCUAGCUAGACACACUAGACUACCUUUCACUAGUAGUAACACUAGGUCUUCUGAAGUGUUUGUUUUAUUGCAUUUGGAUGUAUGGGGUCCUUAUAAUAUUCCAACAUUUGAUGGAAAUAAAUAUUUUCUUACCAUUGUUGAUGAUUUUUCCAGAAUUGUAUGGAUUUUCUUAUUAAA
Solanum lycopersicum (tomato) is the source of this 2847-nucleotide non-coding RNA. NCBI's taxonomy places the organism in Eukaryota, Viridiplantae, Streptophyta, Magnoliopsida, Solanales, Solanaceae. The record is from RefSeq and is a predicted model, not a curated record.